CCCUUAGAUGUUCUGGGCCGCACGCGCGCUACACUGAUGCAUUCAACGAGUUUCUUCCUGGUCCGAGAGGAAUGGGUAACCUUUUGAAAGUGCAUCGUGAUAGGGAUAGACUAUUGCCAUUAUUGGUCUUCAACGAGGAAUUCCUAGUAGACGUAGUUCAUCAGACUGCAUCGAUUACGUCCCUGCCCUUUGUACACACCGCCCGUCGCUCCUACCGAUUGAAUGCUCAGGUGAGCCAUUCGGACUUUCAUCAUGCUGGUUUCCAGUUUUGAUGAAGGAAAGUCUUGCGAACCUUAUCAUUUAGAGGAAGGAGAAGUCGUAACA
This 324-nucleotide ribosomal RNA is filed under the name uncultured eukaryote. Its description in RNAcentral is "partial 18S ribosomal RNA". It matches the Rfam family "Eukaryotic small subunit ribosomal RNA", at positions 1470 to 1796 of the family's 1831-position model. The record is from RNAcentral.